This 1371-nucleotide ribosomal RNA is filed under the name metagenome. RNAcentral's name for it is "bacterial LSU rRNA". It matches the Rfam family "Bacterial large subunit ribosomal RNA", at positions 1545 to 2910 of the family's 2925-position model. The record is from RNAcentral.
AUGCCCAAACAUUGAGCGAUGAAUGCGAGCUGAUUUUAUCAGCGGAAGUGGUCUAAUCCAUGAUUCCAAGAAAAGCUUCGAUGUGUUGUUUGGGGAGCUCGUACCGUAAACCGACUCAGGUGAGUGGGAUGAAUAUUCUAAGGCGAUUGGGUCAAAAUUGGUUAAGGAACUCGGCAACUUGACACCGUAACUUCGGAAGAAGGUGUGCCACGGUAGGGUUUAUAGCCCGAUGUGGUCGCAGAGAAAUGGGAGUAGCGACUGUUUAUCAAAAACACAGGGCUGUGCUAAGUCACAAGACGACGUAUACAGCCUGACGCCUGCCCGGUGCUGGAAGGUUAAGAGGAUUUGUCAGCGUAAGCGAAGCAGAGAAUCGAAGCCCCAGUAAACGGCGGCCGUAACAAUAACGGUCCUAAGGUAGCGAAAUUCCUUGUCGGGUAAGUUCCGACCUGCACGAAUGGCGUAACGACUUCUCCGGUGUCUCAACCAAAUGCCCAGCGAAUUUGAACUCUCAGUGAAAAUGCUGAGUACCCGCAGAAAGACGGAAAGACCCCGUGAACCUUUACUCUAGCUUGGCAGUGAUCUUAGAUCUAGCAUGUGUAGGAUAGGUGGGAGCCUUUGAAGCUUGGGCGCUAGCUCAGGUGGAGGCAACCUUGAAAUACCACCCUUGUUGGCUUUGAGAUCUAACCUGCGCUCUAAUCAGGGCGAGGGACACUGUCUGGUGGGGAGUUUGACUGGGGCGGUCGCCUCCAAAAAAGUAACGGAGGCGUACGAAGGUUCGCUCAGCCUGAUUGGAAACCAGGCGGUGAGUGCAUUGGCAUAAGCGAGCUUAACUGCGAGACCUACAAGUCGAGCAGAUGCGAAAGCAGGUCAAAGUGAUCCGGUGGUCCGCGUGGAAGGGCCAUCGCUCAACGGAUAAAAGGUACUCCGGGGAUAACAGGCUGAUUCCGCCCAAGAGUUCACAUCGACGGCGGAGUUUGGCACCUCGAUGUCGGCUCAUCUCCAUCCUGGGGCUGGAGCAGGUCCCAAGGGUAUGGCUGUUCGCCAUUUAAAGAGGUACGCGACUGGGUUCAGAACGUCGUGAGACAGUUUGGUCCUUAUCUUCUGUGGGCGUAGGAAAAUUGAGUGGAGCUGUCCUUAGUACGAGAGGACCGGGAUGGACAAACCUCUGGUGUUCCUGUUGUCGCGCCAGCGGCAUCGCAGGGUAGCUAUGUUUGGAACGGAUAACCGCUGAAAGCAUCUAAGCGGGAAGCCAACCACAAGAUUAGUUUUCCCUAGGGCUUCGGCCCUCUAAAGACUCGUUCGAGACUAGGACGUUGAUAGGUGGCGGGUGUAAUUCCAGCAAUGGAUUCAGCCGAGCCAUACUAAUUGGUC